Molecule: long non-coding RNA, 1303 nt
Organism: Rosa chinensis
Lineage: Eukaryota; Viridiplantae; Streptophyta; Magnoliopsida; Rosales; Rosaceae
Exons: 4
Source: RefSeq, a predicted model, not a curated record
AUCACUCAUUCAACUUCGUUUUCUGAUUUUCCUUCUUUCCAUUUUCAGUUCUGUGUUCGACCCAUCGAGCUCAAAUUUGUGCUGGGUUUAUCGAAUUUCUCCCUUCUUGCUCAAAUUCAAAGUUCAAAAUUGGGUCUUUGCGGUUUCGAUAGAAAACCGCUGAAAUGGCAAUUAAGGUUCUAAGAUUCUGUUUUCAUAUACAAAAAGCUAUCCCAACCUUUGUAACUUGCUGAUCACAAAUUUUUAUGCAGUACAAAGUCAACAAAACCUGUACGGAGUACCCACCAUUCACGUCGCAAGGCCAAAAGGGGUCAUCCAGACAAGUAGAUUGCUGCUAGUUUGUUCACACGACUCGUUUCUGGGAAUUAUUACGGGGUAUAUGUGAAGCUAUAUUUUGUUGUCGAUCAGAUGCAGCCCUUGUGUUGUUUAAAUCUUUUGCUUACAUGUUAGAAUCUGGCAUACCAACAAAGUAGACACUCAGAUACAUCUAGGAGGAGGGAGUUCAUGUAGUGUGGGCGGUCCUUGUCUUAAGCCCAUAAUUUAUAGUAUUAAUAUAAUUUCUUCAAGGUUCAAACUACCGUACGAGAUACACUGAAAAAGCAUGAACUGACAAGACCUCUUGCUACGAAAGAGUUGGAGUGGUUUGCGGCCUCUGCUUUGUUGGCACUUCCCAUCUUAAUUCUGUUCAGAGUUUUAUCCUCAAUUUUCUGGAUAUUGCUGGAAUUGGGUAUUUUGUCUUUACAUUUUUGCGCCAAUGAACUGUCUAUGUCAGAGGUUUUUUUAAUUUGUAAGGAGAGAUACAGAUGGCUUCCUUUUUGUCUGGCGAUUCUUCUAACUUUGCUGUGAGUUAAAGUAGUUGCUAUAGACAGACUGAGGAUAAAGAGGAAGGAGGCUCUUGGUACUUUUCCAGGAAGGAAAUUGAAGAAAAUUCUCCAUCUAAAGUAGAUGGCAUAGACUUAAAGAAAGAGGUGUACUACAAGAUUUGGGGAUGAGAAUUAAAGUGUGAGUUUUAAGCCUUAUAUAUAAACGAGCUAUAGCUGCCCGCCCGUUGCUGCGGGAGUUAUGGUUGCUAGUGAAUUGCUUAGAAAAGUAAAUGAUUGUAUACAAAAGAAUAUCAUUGAUUUUGUAUUGUUGGUUUGUACAUUUGGUUUGCUUUAAAUUGUUUGAUGGUGGUGCAAAAAUUUAGGUAAGAUAUUUGAUUUGAAAGGGUAUUGUGAAGAGAGAUACAAUAGAAUAUUCAUUUGGUGUUGCUGGUUCUUCGACUGCAAUUUCUCUUAAAGAAGAGCUUGUCUUACUCUGUCAA